Molecule: ribosomal RNA, 253 nt
Filed under: uncultured bacterium
Lineage: Bacteria
Description: partial 16S ribosomal RNA
Rfam family: Bacterial small subunit ribosomal RNA
Source: RNAcentral
UACGGAGGGUGCAAGCGCUAUCCGGAUUCACUGGGCUUAAAGGGUGCGUAGGUGGGCAGGUAAGUCAGUGGUGAAAUCUCCGGGCUUAACCCGGAAACUGCCAUUGAUACUAUCUGUCUUGAAUACCCUGGAGGUGAGCGGAAUAUGUCAUGUAGCGGUGAAAUGCUUAGAUAUGACAUAGAACACCCAUUGCGAAGGCAGCUCACUACGGGAAUAUUGACACUGAGGCACGAAAGCGUGGGGAGCAAACAGG